UUGUGUUUGGUUUUUUUUUGUGUUUUUUUU
Molecule: small RNA, 30 nt
Filed under: Arabidopsis thaliana (thale cress)
Lineage: Eukaryota; Viridiplantae; Streptophyta; Magnoliopsida; Brassicales; Brassicaceae
Description: ATSL169560
Source: RNAcentral